This 853-nucleotide long non-coding RNA is filed under the name Homo sapiens (human). Its description in RNAcentral is "HSALNT0037968". Lineage: Eukaryota; Metazoa; Chordata; Mammalia; Primates; Hominidae. The record is from RNAcentral.
UGGUGGCGGGUGUCUGUAAUCCCAGCUACUCAGGAGGCUGAGGCAGGAGAAUCGUUUGAACUCAGGAGGCUGAGGUUACAGUGAGCCGAGAUUGUGCCACUGCACUCCAACCUGGGCGACAGAGCAAGUCUCCAUCUCAAACAAAAAAAAAAAAAAAAAAAAAAGGAAGGAACUGCUGCUAUCAGAGUGAAGAAAUGUGAGGUCACCCUUUGCGGGAACAGGAGGCGAGCCGGAGGAAGUUCCUUUUCCUCUCUCCAGCCUCGCCGUCUCAGCAGAGCGAAACAGGGGAGCCCCUGGCAAGCAAAUGUUGGAAGGUUCCCAGCCCAGCGUCACAGCAGAGCAGAGAGGCCAACAUCCUUGGCAGAGCUGUGAGCCAACAGCCAGCCCCAGCCUGCCAGCCGUGUGAGCAAGCAGUCUUGGAAGGUGAUUCUACAGCCCCAGCUGAAACACUCCAACUGAUGCCAUGUGAGCCGAGAAGAGCAGCCAAACUGAGCCCUUCUCAAAUCCCUGAUCCUCCAAAUGUAGGCAAAAUAAAUUGCUGGUUUUAAGCCACUAAGUUUUGAUAUAGAUUGUUAUGUAAUAAUAGAUAUCAGAGCUCUAGCUAAGGCAGGUGCUGAAGGGAAGAUGUUUUUAUCAUUCAUAGAUAUCACAAAAUAUGUAUAUUUAAUGCAUUUCAAAAUUUUAGUUCUAACCAAUACAAUUCUUUGGAGUUUACUUUUCCCGUUAUAGAAAUGGUACAUUAUAAAUCACCUACCUGCGAGUCUCAAUCUACUCUUGUUAUUUUUCUAUGUUCCGUUCUAGUAUUUGCUUUAAGUGCAUAUUUAAUUUGUAAUUAAAUAUGUAAUUAUGAAAU